AGUAUCCAGGGAUGGGAAUCGAACCCACAGUGUUCUGCUUACCGGGCAGAUGCCAUGUUCACUAGGCUAAUUUUGAUUUUUC
This 82-nucleotide transfer RNA is filed under the name Cordylochernes scorpioides. Its description in RNAcentral is "tRNA-Thr". The record is from RNAcentral. Lineage: Eukaryota; Metazoa; Arthropoda; Arachnida; Pseudoscorpiones; Chernetidae.